GGUGUAAGUGAAGGUCAAUUCAACCAUGUUCUCCUUCAUGAAAUGGAUGCCAUCAGAAAGGCUUGUGCUUCUUUGGAGGAGGGAUAUCUACCCCCAGUGACGUUUGUGGUUGUUCAGAAAAGGCAUCACACAAGGCUUUUCCCUGAGGUUCACGGAAGGCGUGAUAUGACUGAUAAAAGUGGAAACAUUCUUCUUGGAACUGUGGUUGACCAAAAGAUUUGCCACCCUACCGAGUUUGAUUUCUACUUGUGUAGUCAUGCUGGCAUUCAGGGAACAAGUCGCCCGACCCAUUACCAUGUGCUCUAUGAUGAGAACGAAUUAACUGCUGAUGCACUGCAGUCACUGACCAACAAUCUUUGCUACACGUAAGUUCAACUCUCCAAUCUCCUUCCAUCUCUGACUCUUUGAUUUGUCUAACAUCUCCCUACUUUUGCAUAGAUAGUUUUUCAUCCAAGGUCAAUCGCACUAUUUAAACAACUAAUCCAGCUUUGGUACGCAAUCGGUGAAUCUGUGUUGAUCACAAGGCUCAUGAUUUGUCUAUGUUUUGUCAAGUUCUAUAGAUGAAGGGACCCGUGGCUCACCAAGUCGUUCCCCGUUCCCUUUUCCCCUUCAGGAAACCAUGCUCAGCUCCCAAGUGGAAGGAAAUGACAGGAAGUGGCAUAUUUGCUGCUAGGGGCGAGACUGAAUGAGAUGAAUCUGCCAAUACUUUUGCAACUCCCAUUCGGAUGACUCCAAAGAAUUAUCAAGCACUACUUAUGUAGGUUGAUUUCUAUUCUAUUUUGUUCAGGCUUCAUAGCUGGCAACCCUUCUAUGUUGAAUUGUUGAUAUUAGGAGUAUAUUUACCUUUUCUUCAUAUAGUUUAACUUUUUUCAU
Molecule: RNA transcript, 873 nt
Organism: Zea mays
Lineage: Eukaryota; Viridiplantae; Streptophyta; Magnoliopsida; Poales; Poaceae
Gene name: Protein argonaute pseudogene
Exons: 4
Source: RefSeq, marked validated